This 460-nucleotide ribosomal RNA is filed under the name uncultured bacterium. Its description in RNAcentral is "partial 16S ribosomal RNA". It matches the Rfam family "Bacterial small subunit ribosomal RNA", at positions 338 to 795 of the family's 1533-position model. The record is from RNAcentral.
CCUACGGGGGACAGCAGUGAGGAAUAUUGGUCAAUGGGCGCGAGCCUGAACCAGCCAAGUAGCGUGAAGGAUGACUGCCCUACGGGUUGUAAACUUCUUUUAUAAAGGAAUAAAGUGAGGCACGUGUGCCUUUAUGUAUGUACUUUAUGAAUAAGGAUCGGCUAAACCCGUGCCAGCAGCCGGGGUAAUACGGAGGAUCCGAGCGUUAUCCGGAUUUAUUGGGGUUAAAGGGAGCGUAGAGGGGUUGUUAAGUCAGUUGUGAAAGUUUGCGGCUCAACCGUAAAAUUGCAGUUGAAACUGGCAGUCUUGAGUACAGUAGAGGUGGGCGGAAUGCGUGGUGUAGCGGUGAAAUGCUUAGAUAUCACGAAGAACUCCGAUUGCGAAGGCAGCUCACUGGACUGCAACUGACACUGAGGCUCGAAAGUGUGGGUAUCAAACAGGAUUAGAUACCCGUGUAGUC